RNAcentral lists this long non-coding RNA (206 nucleotides) under Lathyrus oleraceus (garden pea). RNAcentral's name for it is "Pisum sativum (pea) long non-coding RNA (PSAT_LNC024514)". The record is from RNAcentral. Lineage: Eukaryota; Viridiplantae; Streptophyta; Magnoliopsida; Fabales; Fabaceae.
UGGGAAGUGGUUAGAGAUGCCUCAUUCAUGUUCAAGCAAGGCUCAUUUGACAUUUCAAACAUCAACGUUGAAGAAUUUGAAGUCAGAUCAAGACUUUCCAAAAAUAGCAAGUGACCUGUAAUUUGAAAUUUCCAAAAAUGGAAAGGUUUUUGACCAACUUCAACUCAAGAUUACAUCAUCAAGAAAGCUUCAAAUGAACUUUUGUC